This 352-nucleotide ribosomal RNA is filed under the name uncultured fungus. Its description in RNAcentral is "eukaryotic LSU rRNA". The stretch from base 1 to 141 matches the Rfam family "5.8S ribosomal RNA". The record is from RNAcentral. Lineage: Eukaryota; Fungi.
GGAUCUCUUGGUUCUGGCAUCGAUGAAGAACGCAGCGAAAUGCGAUAAGUAGUGUGAAUUGCAGAAUUCAGUGAAUCAUCGAAUCUUUGAACGCACAUUGCGCCCCUUGGUAUUCCAUGGGGCAUGCCUGUUCGAGCGUCAUUUGUACCCUCAAGCUUUGCUUGGUGUUGGGCGUUUUGUCUUUUACCAGACUCGCCUUAAAGUCAUUGGCAGCCAGUGUUUUUGGUAGUAAGCGCAGCACAAUUUGCGUCUUAGUCCUUGAAUCGUGGCAUCCAUAAAGCCUCUUUUUCACUUUUGACCUCGGAUCAGGUAGGGAUACCCGCUGAACUUAAGCAUAUCAAUAAGCGGAGGA